This 398-nucleotide ribosomal RNA is filed under the name uncultured bacterium. RNAcentral's name for it is "partial 16S ribosomal RNA". It matches the Rfam family "Bacterial small subunit ribosomal RNA", at positions 523 to 918 of the family's 1533-position model. The record is from RNAcentral.
AUACGUAGGGUGCGAGCGUUGUCCGGAAUUACUGGGCGUAAAGAGCUCGUAGGUGGUUUGUCGCGUCGUCUGUGAAAUUCCGGGGCUUAACUCCGGGCGUGCAGGCGAUACGGGCAUAACUUGAGUACUGUAGGGGAGACUGGAAUUCCUGGUGUAGCGGUGAAAUGCGCAGAUAUCAGGAGGAACACCGGUGGCGAAGGCGGGUCUCUGGGCAGUAACUGACGCUGAGGAGCGAAAGCAUGGGGAGCGAACAGGAUUAGAUACCCUGGUAGUCCAUGCCGUAAACGGUGGGCGCUAGGUGUAGGGGUCUUCCACGACUUCUGUGCCGUAGCUAACGCAUUAAGCGCCCCGCCUGGGGAGUACGGCCGCAAGGCUAAAACUCAAAGGAAUUGACGGGG